CACGUAGGGUGCGAGCGUUGUCCGGAAUUAUUGGGCGUAAAGAACUCGUAGGCGGUGUGUCGCGUCGGCCGUGAAAACCUGCAGCUUAACUGUGGGCGUGCGGUCGAUACGGGCAUCACUGGAGUUCGGCAGGGGAGACUGGAAUUCCUGGUGUAGCGGUGGAAUGCGCAGAUAUCAGGAGGAACACCGGUGGCGAAGGCGGGUCUCUGGGCAGUAACUGACGCUGAGGAGCGAAAGCGUGGGGAGCGAACAGG
RNAcentral lists this ribosomal RNA (254 nucleotides) under uncultured bacterium. Its description in RNAcentral is "partial 16S ribosomal RNA". It matches the Rfam family "Bacterial small subunit ribosomal RNA", at positions 524 to 776 of the family's 1533-position model. The record is from RNAcentral.